GUUUAAGGAGGGAGAGAGACAAUGAAUGGUGGAGGAGGAUCAUUGGGGAUCCGUUCUGGGAGUUAUGGCUCAUUGGAAAAACCACAGCAGCAACUUCAGCAGCAAAAUGGCACUAAUGGUACUGGUAAUGGUAAUCUGUUGCCUAUUCAAUCGGCAAUCCGAAUUAAGCCUGUUAAAAUGUUCAAGGAUAAGGAAAGAU
RNAcentral lists this long non-coding RNA (199 nucleotides) under Linum usitatissimum (flax). RNAcentral's name for it is "long non-coding RNA (LUSI_LNC000006)". The record is from RNAcentral. Lineage: Eukaryota; Viridiplantae; Streptophyta; Magnoliopsida; Malpighiales; Linaceae.